GACGAACGCUGGCGGCGUGCUUAACACAUGCAAGUCGAACGGAGAGGGCGCUUUGGGGGUCCUCGAGUGGGGAGCGGGCGAGUAAGACGUGCGUAAGCAGCCCUUGAGUUCGGGAGAACUACAGGAAACUAGGGCUAAUAACGGACAGGAAACAUUACUGGAUGCAGGGGGUUGGAAAGCUGCGGGGGUUUUGGAUGGACCCGCGGGGUAUCGGCUUGUAGGUGGGGUAGGGGCUGACCAAGGCUUAGCCGGGUAGCCGGCCUGAGAGGGCGACCGGCCCCAUUGGGCUUGAGGUACGGCCCGUACUCCUACGUGAGGCAUCGGUGGGAAAUAUUGCACACUGGGCGGAGGCCUGAUGCAGCAUCGCCGCGUGCGGGAUCACGGCUUUCGGGGUGUAAACCGCUUUCAGCAGGAGCGAACCUUUUGUGACGGUACCUUCACAAGAAGCACCGGCUAACUACGUG
RNAcentral lists this ribosomal RNA (464 nucleotides) under uncultured bacterium. RNAcentral describes it as "partial 16S ribosomal RNA". It matches the Rfam family "Bacterial small subunit ribosomal RNA", at positions 28 to 507 of the family's 1533-position model. The record is from RNAcentral.